GCUAACUUUGUAUCCUAGGGCCAUGUGGUGGUUUUAUUCUUCCUGAAUUCAUUUGUGAGUGCCCAUCUGGCUGCCAGGCAUGGUACUGGGCAUGAGACGUGUGUGCAGAGAGGGGCAGGUGGGAUUCCUGGACGCCAGAGCUCAUGCUUCUCCUGGUCACCUCCUCUGCAGACUCAGAGGCUCACUGUCAAGGGGGCCUUGAAGAUGGUUCCACCCACCUCCACGUUUUAUGGAAGAGGAAACUGAGACCCAGAGAGGGGAGCCACGAGCGCAAGAUCACACAGCAAGUCACAGGAGAAGCUGGGGCCACUUCCCAGAGGCAGUGAGUCCUGGGACACGGUGGCAGGACCAGCGGCAGAAGCAGCUGUGGGCUGUUGAGCCCGGCACCCCUGGCAUGGAAUCUGGGCUCUGCUACCAUUCAGCGACCUUGGGCGGGUCCAGCAAUGCCUCCAAGCUUGUUUCUCCAUCUGGAAUGUCGGACUAACGAUCCUUGUCCUGCAGAGCAGUCACACGGAAUGAAUGAGACGUGAGAGGUGCCUCAAUAAAUAGUCUUGUGCCUCAACAAAUAUUGCUUCUCUACCCCUUUCUCUCUCCAAAGCUUUGCCUCAUCAUUUCCAAUCUCCCAUCUCUGGGCCAAUUUUCCCACUCUUAUUUAAGAUCAUACAAAUUUCCUGAAUCGACAAGGAUUCAAAUGAAUGUAAACUUAAUACCUUUAGCUUAACUUCUCUGGGACUCAAUGUUCUUCUCUGUAAAAUGGGAGAAAAUCCUCCCUACCUCCCAGGAUUUGGGUAGCGGGGAUUAAAGGAGACGAGGCAGGUAAGGCAUUUAGCACAAUGGCCAGCCCAAAACACAAGCUUAACGUCAUCUCGGCAUCUCCAGAGACUGAUCACCUGAGCUCCCGGGAGGCAUGGGAGACACUGCGCCUGCCCUUGGCAGGGCCACACCUGCAUCAGAAGUACUGGCAAACUUGGUAUUUCACAGCACCCUCCAGGGUGCCCUGAAGCAGCUCAGAAAGGCUGAUUUAGAAGGCAUGUUUUCUUUGCUGUGUCUCUUUUUAACUUACUUUGCUUUGAUUUUUCAAUUUGCUACUAAUUGUGUAUGAAUUACCUGCCUCUGUGAUCUGUACAUUAAAUAUGACUGU
Molecule: long non-coding RNA, 1141 nt
Organism: Bubalus bubalis (water buffalo)
Lineage: Eukaryota; Metazoa; Chordata; Mammalia; Artiodactyla; Bovidae
Exons: 2
Source: RefSeq, a predicted model, not a curated record